AUUGAACGCUGGCGGCAUGCUUUACACAUGCAAGUCGAACGGUAACAGGUCUUCGGAUGCUGACGAGUGGCGAACGGGUGAGUAAUGCAUCGGAACGUGCCCAGUCGUGGGGGAUAACGCAGCGAAAGCUGUGCUAAUACCGCAUACGAUCUAUGGAUGAAAGCGGGGGAUCGCAAGACCUCGCGCGAUUGGAGCGGCCGAUGUCAGAUUAGCUAGUUGGUGGGGUAAAGGCCCACCAAGGCGACGAUCUGUAGCUGGUCUGAGAGGACGACCAGCCACACUGGGACUGAGACACGGCCCAGACUCCUACGGGAGGCAGCAGUGGGGAAUUUUGGACAAUGGGCGCAAGCCUGAUCCAGCAAUGCCGCGUGCAGGAAGAAGGCCUUCGGGUUGUAAACUGCUUUGUACGGAACGAAAGGUCUGGGUUAAUACCCUGGCCCGAUGACGGUACCGUAAGAAUAAGCACCGGCUAACUACGUGCCAG
RNAcentral lists this ribosomal RNA (484 nucleotides) under uncultured bacterium. RNAcentral's name for it is "bacterial SSU rRNA". It matches the Rfam family "Bacterial small subunit ribosomal RNA", at positions 30 to 511 of the family's 1533-position model. The record is from RNAcentral.